Corticium candelabrum is the source of this 983-nucleotide long non-coding RNA. RefSeq lists it as uncharacterized. The record is from RefSeq and is a predicted model, not a curated record. The transcript has 3 exons. NCBI's taxonomy places the organism in Eukaryota, Metazoa, Porifera, Homoscleromorpha, Homosclerophorida, Plakinidae.
UGCGUGGCGGUCUGGUCGUCCUUUGUUCUUCGAAAGCAUUUCGCCAAUACUUUGGAGGCAAAAACAACAUAUUCAAACGUUUCUUACGUGCGUUUCGUGUCAAACGCAUCAUUUGAGGCCGAUACGUUGGAGAACGAGUGAGAUUUUCGUUUGUAAAGACAGCGAUGACACGCCCGCGCUUAAGCGUUUUAGUAGCUGUGUUGCAAGUUUGGCCGCUAGCCGUUGGGGACUAUUUGAGUUAUGCCCAUAGUAACCUCUUGUUCUCCGUUGCUAUGGCCAGGUGCCCGUAUGUUUUGCUCUUCAGACGACGAUGCAACGCUCAAGAAAGCAGAUCUUUCGAUGAUGAAGACAUCGGCAACUCAAUUAGUGUAGCGAAGACAAGAAGUUGACAUGAACGCAUCGAAACAAUCAUCAAUAGCUAUGAGAUUUGUAUCAUUCGAAAGCGCAAUUAACAGGCUUUCAAAUCUGCAUGUAUUGUAAUUUUGGCUUCUAUAAUGUGGCUGCAAUUGCGAAUAAUAGGUAAUGGAUUUUAGGUUACGUGCGCGCGCUACCCAAUUAGUACAUUCUUUGUUAUGUGUUCGUCAGAAUUUCAGGUGAUUUCUACACCUACUGACCGGUUGCAUUUAUCACGUCCAGGUGUGACCUUUGCACUAAUGUCACGCCUAUAAUAUUCUAGCGCGCGCGCGCAAGGAAGUACUCGGCUUACGUGUACAUGUAGUUGCAACUGCAGCCACAUUUUAGAACUGAAAAAUCAAUUCAUACAUCUUUGGAAAGCAUAUUAAUUGCGCUUUCAUAUGGGACAGUUUUUGUAACUAUUGACAACUGUUUCAAUAUUUGAUUUCGAUUUGUUGAUGCUACUCUAAUUACUUGACAGCAAAACUUCAACUCAACACAACACAUCUAUUCCAAUUAUAUCUGUAUACCUGUAAAAAUUUCUAUGCCCUAUAUACAAACUUUUUAGUGAUAUGUCAUCUAAAAAGUAA